Molecule: ribosomal RNA, 591 nt
Filed under: Aspergillus ochraceus
Lineage: Eukaryota; Fungi; Ascomycota; Eurotiomycetes; Eurotiales; Aspergillaceae
Description: eukaryotic LSU rRNA
Rfam family: 5.8S ribosomal RNA (bases 203-356)
Source: RNAcentral
CUUCCGUAGGUGAACCUGCGGAAGGAUCAUUACUGAGUGAGGGUCCCUCGGGGCCCAACCUCCCACCCGUGUAUACCGUACCUUGUUGCUUCGGCGAGCCCGCCCCCUUUUUCUUUUAGGGGGCACAGCGCUCGCCGGAGACACCAACGUGAACACUGUCUGAAGUUUUGUCGUCUGAGUCGAUUGUAUCGCAAUCAGUUAAAACUUUCAACAAUGGAUCUCUUGGUUCCGGCAUCGAUGAAGAACGCAGCGAAAUGCGAUAAUUAAUGUGAAUUGCAGAAUUCAGUGAAUCAUCGAGUCUUUGAACGCACAUUGCACCCCCUGGUAUUCCGGGGGGUAUGCCUGUCCGAGCGUCAUUGCUGCCCUCAAGCACGGCUUGUGUGUUGGGUCGUCGUCCCCCCCCAGGGGGACGGGCCCGAAAGGCAGCGGCGGCACCGCGUCCGGUCCUCGAGCGUAUGGGGCUUUGUCACCCGCUCUUGUAGGCCCGGCCGGCUGCUGGCCGACGCUGAAAAGCAACCAACUAUUUUCCAGGUUGACCUCGGAUCAGGUAGGGAUACCCGCUGAACUUAAGCAUAUCAAUAAGCGGAGGAA